GGAAAUUUUUCUGUCAACCGAACACAACCCAACCUGUUUCUCUCUCUCUUUCUCUCUCUCUCUCUCUCUCUCUCCAUCGUCUCAAUUUCUCGGGUGAGAUCCAUUUUCUUCCCGGCUAACACGAACAAAGGGACGGCGUACCCUAUAGGCCAUGAGUUAUAGAAGGGAGCAUCGUGCUUCUAGGACAUCUUUGUUUGAUGGCCUUGAUGGCCUUGAGGAAGGUCGAGUUAGGGCCUCCUCUUCAUACUCUCACGAAAUUAGUGAGCCUGAAAAUGACAAAGCGAUGGACAAUUUGCAGGACAGAGUUAGUCUUCUGAAGAGAUUAACGGGUGACAUACAUGAGGAGGUUGAGAGUCAUAAUCGAAUGCUUGACAGAAUGGGAAACAACAUGGAUGCAUCAAGAGGAGUAAUGUCAGUAACCAUGGACCGAUUCAAGAUGGUGUUCGAGAAGAAAUCAAAUAGUAGAAUGUGCAAACUCGUGGGUUUUUUUGUGGUUUUGUUCUUGACUAUAUAUUUUCUUAUUAGGGUGUUUCGGUAGAUUUAUUGUUGAAACAAUUAAAGAUCCUGUCUGCCUGUCUGGUGUUGGAAAUGGAGGUCACAUACAUAGAAGCACAAAGAUGGUUUCCAGGUGUAUAAUGCGAGUUCUUACCCCAGAAAGAGAUGGUAAAAAAGCCUAACUCUUUGUUGUACUGCAAUAUAAGAACACGUGGACUGGCUUGUUUGCCUAUAUUGGUGACUUCAACUGUUAUGAAAACGUUCUUUUGUAGCAUUAAUUUAAUUGGGGGAGGGAGAAUGGCUUGCGCCUUACCACCAAACCCCAAGCAGAAGCAAUCAGUUUGUGUCCUGAGUUUGAUUAGAGUUUUUAAAAUUGAAAGGUUGGCGGUACGUCUCCCUUUGGAGGGUUUUGGUUUGUCCCUUACAAAAACUCAACAGGAAAUGCAGCUGACUCAGAUCUAAAACGUUUGUGAA
Molecule: non-coding RNA, 969 nt
Organism: Carica papaya (papaya)
Lineage: Eukaryota; Viridiplantae; Streptophyta; Magnoliopsida; Brassicales; Caricaceae
Source: RefSeq, a predicted model, not a curated record